GGAUCCAGACUUUGAUCUGGCUCAGGACGAACGCUGGCGGCGCGCCUAACACAUGCAAGUCGAGCGGGAAGCUUUUUAAGGAUUCUUCGGAUGAAUUAAAAAGUGGAGAGCGGCGGACGGGUGAGUAACGCGUGAGAAACCUGCCCUAUACAGGGGGGAUAGCCAUUGGAAACGAUGAUUAAUACCCCAUAUGACCACAGUAUCGCAUGAUACAGCGGUGAAAACUCCGGUGGUAUAGGAUGGUCUCGCGUCUGAUUAGCUAGUUGGUGGGGUAACGGCCUACCAAGGCGACGAUCAGUAGCCGGCCUGAGAGGGUGACCGGCCACACUGGAACUGAGACACGGUCCAGACUCCUACGGGAGGCAGCAGUGGGGAAUAUUGCACAAUGGGCGAAAGCCUGAUGCAGCGACGCCGCGUGAACGAUGAAGGCUUUCGAGUCGUAAAGUUCUGUUCUUGGGGAAGAUAACGACGGUACCCAAGGAGAAAGCACCGGCUAAAUACGUGCCAGCAGCCGCGG
This 517-nucleotide ribosomal RNA is filed under the name uncultured bacterium. RNAcentral describes it as "bacterial SSU rRNA". It matches the Rfam family "Bacterial small subunit ribosomal RNA", at positions 1 to 520 of the family's 1533-position model. The record is from RNAcentral.